Pseudopipra pipra is the source of this 758-nucleotide long non-coding RNA. RefSeq lists it as uncharacterized. Lineage: Eukaryota; Metazoa; Chordata; Aves; Passeriformes; Pipridae. The transcript has 2 exons. The record is from RefSeq and is a predicted model, not a curated record.
UUCCGGCUCGUCCCCAUCCCACCCCCCGGCAUUCCCGGCCGAUUCCAGGUGGGAUCGUUCCCGGGAAAGGCGAUCUAACCGCGUCCCUGCUCCGCUCCAUCGCUCGGGGAAGGGCACGGCAGAACCGCCCGUUCCCUGCGGGACUGUGCUCGGCUGCGGGAGCAGCAGCCCCCGGAUUCCCUCCCUCACAACCCCCCGGGAUCCUGCUCCGAGCAAUUCCCAGCCCUCAACUUCUCUCCCUCAUUCCUUACGGAAUUCCUGGCCGGCCUCCUCCCUCAGAGGGCAGACACACCGAAGGAAUCUCAUCCCCUGUUCAAUCCCACAGCCCCGAGGGAGGGACAGCCACCGCCCGGCUCCUCCGGGAGCAGAGGGGGAAGGGAUGAAGGAACUGCUCCAAGGUCACCUGGGCAGGUGCCCCAACACCCAGCCCGGAGCCCCCAGCAGCCCCGGGAAGAGCCCCGGGAAGAGCCCCGGGCUGCGGGAAUUCCCGACGGACACGAGCGCACCCGGAAUUCUGGGGGACGGACACGGAAACCCCAAAAUGCUGCGUGGAACUGGGGCCUGCCAGGACCCCCCGGCCCGGGAAGGGCGUGGGAGGGUCCAUCCCCACCCAACCAGCCCGGAUCCCGGAAUUCCCGGAGCCCCCGGAGCGAGGGAUGGCACCAGCAGAGCCCCUCAGAGCCCACACAGGUACGGCCUGGACCCCCUUAAUUAACCGGGGCUUGUUCAUUUAAUUAAGGUAAUUAACUAACAGCUAA